RNAcentral lists this signal recognition particle RNA (99 nucleotides) under Planctomycetota bacterium. RNAcentral's name for it is "signal recognition particle sRNA small type". It matches the Rfam family "Bacterial small signal recognition particle RNA". From Rfam's summary of the family: The signal recognition particle (SRP) is a universally conserved ribonucleoprotein involved in the co-translational targeting of proteins to membranes. Archaeal SRP consists of a 7S RNA and homologues of the eukaryotic SRP19 and SRP54 proteins. Lineage: Bacteria; Pseudomonadati; Planctomycetota. The record is from RNAcentral.
GGUUCGGUCCCAUGCAACGCGCUGCGGAGGCAUCGGGUCAGAUGGGAGACCAAGCAGCCCACCUGCGUUUGCCCGUGUGCCGUGGGUCGCCGAACCGGA